Molecule: ribosomal RNA, 492 nt
Filed under: uncultured bacterium
Lineage: Bacteria
Description: partial 16S ribosomal RNA
Rfam family: Bacterial small subunit ribosomal RNA
Source: RNAcentral
AGUGAACGCUGGCGGUAGGCCUAACACAUGCAAGUCGAACGGCAGCACAGUAAGAGCUUGCUCUUACGGGUGGCGAGUGGCGGACGGGUGAGGAAUACAUCGGAAUCUACUUUUUCGUGGGGGAUAACGUAGGGAAACUUACGCUAAUACCGCAUACGACCUACGGGUGAAAGCAGGGGAUCUUCGGACCUUGCGCGAUUGAAUGAGCCGAUGUCGGAUUAGCUAGUUGGCGGGGUAAAGGCCCACCAAGGCGACGAUCCGUAGCUGGUCUGAGAGGAUGAUCAGAGAAACUGGAAGUGAGACAGGGGCAAGACGCCUACGGGAGGCAGCAGUGGGGAAUAUUGGACAAUGGGCGCAAGUCUGAUCCAGCCAUACCGCGUGGGUGAAGAAGGCCUUCGGGUUGUAAAGCCCUGUUGUUGGGAAAGAAAAGCAGAAGGUUAAUACCCCGCUGUUCUGAAGGUACCCAAAGAAUAAGCACCGGCUAACUUCGUG